This 449-nucleotide ribosomal RNA is filed under the name uncultured bacterium. RNAcentral's name for it is "partial 16S ribosomal RNA". It matches the Rfam family "Bacterial small subunit ribosomal RNA", at positions 29 to 523 of the family's 1533-position model. The record is from RNAcentral.
AACGAACGCUGGCGGCAUGCCUAACACAUGCAAGUCGAACGAGAUCUUCGGGUCUAGUGGCGCACGGGUGCGUAACGCGUGGGAAUCUGCCCUUUGGUUCGGAAUAACAGUUGGAAACGACUGCUAAUACCGGACGAUGACGAAAGUCCAAAGAUUUAUCGCCAGAGGAUGAGCCCGCGUAGGAUUAGCUAGUUGGUGUGGUAAAGGCGCACCAAGGCGACGAUCCUUAGCUGGUCUGAGAGGAUGAUCAGCCACACUGGGACUGGGACACGGCCAAGACUCCUACGGGAGGCAGCAGUGGGGAAUAUUGGACAAGGGGCGAAAGCCUGAUCCAGCAAUGCCGCGUGAGUGAUGAAGGCCUUAGGGUUGUAAAGCUCUUUUACCCGGGAUGAUAAUGACAGUACCGGGAGAAUAAGCUCCGGCUAACUCCGUGCCAGCAGCCGCCGUAA